This 120-nucleotide ribosomal RNA is filed under the name uncultured bacterium. Its description in RNAcentral is "partial 16S ribosomal RNA". It matches the Rfam family "Bacterial small subunit ribosomal RNA", at positions 28 to 156 of the family's 1533-position model. The record is from RNAcentral.
GACGAACGCUGGCGGCGUGCUUAACACAUGCAAGUCGAGGGCGGGGGGUAACCCCUGACCGGCGAACGGGUGCGUAACACGUGAGCGACCUACCUCCCCGCGGGGGAUAGCCGGCCCAAC